CCGCCAUGUUGAUGGCGUGGGUUGUCGUUAGCUCGGAGCAGCGGCCGAAGCAGCCGGGUUAAAAUGUCUGGCAGGACCGGGCGGGAAUAACUAACGGUCGGGGGACGGGGUGGGGAUGGGGGUCAAGAGACUGCGCAGCACGUUCGGUUAGACACGGGGCGCGGCCGAGUCACCCUUUGCCCUUGAGCCCCUCGCGGGGGCCGACGGGAAGGGGGGGCAGUCCUGUGGGGGAGGAGAGCACCCCCAACCUUGUGGGGAUGGCAGCAGAGCAGGUGGCCCAAGCCCUGGGGCAGUCGCUGUGACGCUGGCGGGAUGCUCAACCGGGGCUGUGGCAUCCCCCGGAGUGCCUGGAGAGGGGUUCAGAGGCGCCAUGCCGGGGUCUCCUGAUGCUGAGGAAAUGAAAUACAGCUUUCUUGCUUUUCUUGUUAAGGUUGAAGAUGUCCAAGCCCAGAAUUCUGAACCACCUCUUCCUCAUUCAUUCAUAAAAAUGUUUGGGAGAGUUGCAUUUACAGUCUUAUUUUUUUAGCUGGAGUCAAAUAAAAUGCCACCACAUUUGUUACUGAAGAGAAUAACAUGCCAUUACACUAAAGAUUUUUCAGACGCAUGCAGAGAGCAACAGAAAAGUUGUGGACAAAGGACUGUUGACCACUUUUUACUUUCUCUCUUGCUGGGUUGUGAAAAUCUUGUUCUACAAUUUGUACCACCAUGUCUUGGAAAAAACUACGGACGUGUCCAGAUGAGCGUGGAUAUGCGGUAUGUGAUGCCACAGACCUCCAUACACUACACAUGCAGGCAUUCUCCAUGCUUCUUUGCAGCAACAGGGGCGCUUUUGACCUCAGGAGACCUGGGGUCAAAAAAAGCCUACAUCAAAAUAAAGCAGGAUGGCACAUGUGGCGGCAGUACAUGCUGCCCAAAACCAACGUCUGGCUGGCCAGACCUGCACUCCAGCUGGUGGCCAGGCUUCCUGCUUCAGGAGCACCACAGCUGCAGCUCCCAGAGGCCCUCAGGUCCCCAGGUAAAGCUGCUGGGGCCAGCAAAGUUGGUGGCCCCAGCCUCCCCUACCCCACCUAGGGUAACCUGUCAUGUGCCAGAGCUCACAUGUCAUGGGCAUUCCCAGGGGCCAAGUACCAACAGCACAAGGUGUACCGCUGCUGCUUGUCCCCCAGGAAAUGCAUGUUCCCACUUGUCUGGAUGUAUCCUAUAUGUCACCCUAGGGUCUAAAGGCUAUGGGACUGUAGUUCCUACUAGUGUGUGGUUCUUAAGAGAAUGACAUGCUAGCAAAUUAUAAGCAGGGAUCUGGAUUUUCCAUUCACCAUGGAAAAAUGUGGUGAAGCAUGGAUUUUCUCUUUUAAAGAAGAAAAACGCAGGAAACAGUGGGUUUCCCCCUGCAGGCUGGCAGAAUCUCAGCCUGCAAAGGACAAGCUGGAGAAGGGCGAUCAGGCAGGGGUGCCACGUGCAUGUGACAUGCACGUGGCAGACAGGCAGAAGAAGAGCACCUCCCCACAGGUAAGUCUGUUGGGGCGGGGGCAGGUAAUUGUUUCCACCACAGUGAGGGAGGGAGGGAGGGAGU
Molecule: long non-coding RNA, 1570 nt
Organism: Crocodylus porosus (Australian saltwater crocodile)
Lineage: Eukaryota; Metazoa; Chordata; Crocodylia; Crocodylidae
Source: Ensembl